Molecule: ribosomal RNA, 153 nt
Filed under: Brachystelma rubellum
Lineage: Eukaryota; Viridiplantae; Streptophyta; Magnoliopsida; Gentianales; Apocynaceae
Description: 5.8S ribosomal RNA
Rfam family: 5.8S ribosomal RNA
About the family: 5.8S ribosomal RNA (5.8S rRNA) is a component of the large subunit of the eukaryotic ribosome.
Source: RNAcentral
CUCGACAACGGAUAUCUAGGCUCUCGCAUCGAUGAAGAACGUAGCAAAAUGCGAUACUUGGUGUGAAUUGCAGAAUCCCGUGAAUCAUCGAGUUUUUGAACGCAAGUUGCGCCCGAAGUCAUUAGGCCGAGGGCACGUCUGCCUGGGUGUCAC